RNAcentral lists this long non-coding RNA (635 nucleotides) under Brassica napus (rape). Its description in RNAcentral is "long non-coding RNA (BNAP_LNC001552)". The record is from RNAcentral. Lineage: Eukaryota; Viridiplantae; Streptophyta; Magnoliopsida; Brassicales; Brassicaceae.
CUAAUAGUUUAAAAUCGUUUGUAAAUGUAUAAAAACUUCAUAUUCAAAUAAUAUUGUAAUUUUCCGAAUUUAAUUUGAACUUAUACGAAUACCCCGGACGUAGCCCGGGAAAAGUCCCUAGUAUCACUAAUUAUUAUAAUUCACAUCCCAUUCAGUGCCUACAAAGCCCAUAAUAAAAUCAUAUUGUCAACCAAAAGAAACAACCCACUAUAUAACACAAGCACAUCAUAAAAUGUAAAAACACAUAAUUUUAAAAAUCAAUUCCAUCAACGCAUGAGACUACCCCAAUCCAAGCUUUAUAUCAAUAUCAUGGCCAAAUUGCCAACCAUGGCUAACGAAUUUUCUUGAAAAUAUUGCAACACUAAACACAACCAGCGGCCAACGCAACAAAACUUUAGACACUAUAGUCCACAAAUACGUAAAGGAAAAUACACUUCUACCAAAUUUAACUGCAAACAACAAUUAUAACACGAACGAAAACCUAACUACGAAAUGUACUGUUAGAUGGACUGUUUAGUCCACAAAUACGUAAAGGAAAAUACACUUCUACCAAAAUUAACUACAAACACCAAAUAUAACACAAACAAAAAAUCAACUACGAAAUAUACAGCUAGAUGGACUGUUUACGCCCCCUC